RNAcentral lists this ribosomal RNA (486 nucleotides) under Esphalmenus sp. AMEBU8480. Its description in RNAcentral is "partial 16S ribosomal RNA". It matches the Rfam family "Bacterial large subunit ribosomal RNA", at positions 1850 to 2587 of the family's 2925-position model. Lineage: Eukaryota; Metazoa; Arthropoda; Insecta; Dermaptera; Pygidicranidae. The record is from RNAcentral.
GAAGUAACUCUGCUCAAUGAGUAUAACAUUUAAAUGGCUGCAGUAAUCUGACUGUACAAAGGUAGCAUAAUCAAUAGUUUUUUAAUUGAAAACUGGAAUGAAAGAACCCACGAAAUAAAAUCUGUCUCUUAUUAUAAAGUUAAACUUAACCUUUAAGUUAAAAGGCUAAAAUGGAAUUGAUAGACGAGAAGACCCUAUAGACCUUUAUAUAAUACUUAUAUUUAAUUAAUUUAUGAAAUAUAACAACUAAAUAUUAUGUUGGGGAAACAAGAAGGAAAAGAUGAACCCUUCUUUAUAAAUAUCAUUUAUAAAUGUAAUAUCACAAAAUGAUCCAAUACAAUAAAAUUGACUAACAGUUCAAGGUACCUUAGGGAUAACAGCGUAAUCUUUUUUGAGAGUUCUUAUCGACAAAGGAGUUGCGACCUCGAUGUUGGAUUAAGGAAAGUUUUUAAAGUAGAAGUUAAAAAAUCUAGGUCUGUUCGACCU